UUUAAUUUUCUUUGUGUUAUUUCGUGUUUGUUUCACAAUAAAACAUAUUUUGCAUCUACAAAGUGGUAGGCAUGUUGUGUAAAUCAAAUUACACAAAUCCCCCAAAAUCGAUUUUAUUUCCGGGUUGUAAAAGCAACAAAAUAGGAAAAAUGCCAAGGGGGUGAAAACUGUCACAAGCCACAGUAUGUUAGGCAGUAGAUGGAUCUGUAAACACCAUUAGACCAGGUAUGUUAGGCAGUAGAUGGAUCUGUAAACACCAUUAGACCAGGUAUGUUAGGCAGGAGAUGGAUCUGUAAACACCAUUAGACCAGGUAUGUUAGGCAGGAGAUGGAUCUGUAAACACCAUUAGACCAGGUAUGUUAGGCAGUAGAUGGAUCUGUAAACACCAUUAGACCAGGUAUGUUAGGCAGGAGAUGGAUCUGUAAACACCAUUAGACCAGGUAUGUUAGGCAGUAGAUGGAUCUGUAAACACCAUUAGACCAGGUAUGUUAGUAGAUGGAUCUGUAAACACCAUUAGACCAGGUAUGUUAGGCAGUAGAUGGAUCUGUAAACACCAUUAGACCAGGUAUGUUAGGCAGGAGAUGGAUCUGUAAACACCAUUAGACCAGGUAUGUUAGUAGAUGGAUCUGUAAACACCAUUAGACCAGGUAUGUUAGUAGAUGGAUCUGUAAACACCAUUAGACCAGGUAUGUUAGUAGAUGGAUCUGUAAACACCAUUAGACCAGGUAUGUUAGGCAGUAGAUGGAUCUGUAAACACCAUUAGACCAGGUAUGUUAGUAGAUGGAUCUGUAAACACCAUUAGACCAGGUAUGUUAGUAGAUGGAUCUGUAAACACCAUUAGACCAGGUAUGUUAGGCAGUAGAUGGAUCUGUAAACACCAUUAGACCAGGUAUGUUAGUAGAUGGAUCUGAAAACACCAUUAGACCAGGUAUGUUAGGCAGUAGAUGGAUCUGUAAACACCAUUAGACCAGGUAUGUUAGGCAGUAGAUGGGUCUGUAAACACCAUUAGACCAGGUAUGUUAGGCAGUAGAUGGAUCUGUAAACACCAUUAGACCAGGUAUGUUAGGCAGUAGAUGGAUCUGUAAACACCAUUAGACCAGGUAUGUUAGGCAGUAGAUGGAUCUGUAAACACCAUUAGACCAGGUAUGUUAGGCAGUAGAUGGUUCUGUUAAGGCCAUUAGACCAGGUAUGUUAGGCAGUAGAUGGAUCUUUUAAUGAUGGAUCUAUAAACACAAUUAGACCAGGUAUGUUAGUAGAUGGUCGAUAUACGUGACAGUCCCCCUCUGGUGGGUUCAAUCUUGGCAUUAUCCUGCAAGUUGCAAACCAACAUAAAAAAAAUGACUACGUGAUGUUCUGGUUGUGGAUCAUCGUUGCCCUCUGGUGGUUGAACUUGGUAGGUUCUCUGAAAGCGGAGCAAUCCACCCCAAGAAUGGGCAGUGGAUGUCUGGUUGGUGAUCGCCGUCUAGGCAGUAACUUAGGCAGGUGUUAACAACGCACACACUCUCAUGAAAUACAUAAUUAAUUACAUUUCUUCCAGAAUGAGCGAUGUUCUGUCACAAAUUAUGGUUAUAUGAGGACCUUGUUCAUGGCUCUAUAACUUCCUAAGUGUCAAAGGAAAAGAAACUAAAUGAA
Long non-coding RNA from Oncorhynchus keta (chum salmon), 1632 nucleotides. RefSeq lists it as uncharacterized. The record is from RefSeq and is a predicted model, not a curated record. The transcript has 5 exons. Lineage: Eukaryota; Metazoa; Chordata; Actinopteri; Salmoniformes; Salmonidae.